Molecule: non-coding RNA, 125 nt
Organism: Vibrio metschnikovii CIP 69.14
Lineage: Bacteria; Pseudomonadati; Pseudomonadota; Gammaproteobacteria; Vibrionales; Vibrionaceae
Source: Rfam
AACCUCUCAUUUUCUGUUUGUUUUUAACUUCUUUUUUCUCCAAUAAUCUUGGAGGCUUGCUCGUUUAAAGAAAAUAAGUCAAAAACGAACAGACAGAAAGCCUCCCAUCGGGAGGCUUUUUUAUA